Molecule: ribosomal RNA, 237 nt
Filed under: Triticum aestivum (bread wheat)
Lineage: Eukaryota; Viridiplantae; Streptophyta; Magnoliopsida; Poales; Poaceae
Description: partial small subunit ribosomal RNA
Source: RNAcentral
AUGUGUUGGAAUGUUAGGGGCCUAAACAGCCCGGCUAGGAAAAAGGCUGUUAGAGAAUUUGUGUCUUCGGUGAAAGUAAACCUAGUAUGUCUACAAGAUACUAAUCUUGAUGUAAUCGACCCCUUCAUUGUUAUGCAAUGCAUUGGACCAUCUCUUGAUGGUUUUGCUUAUCCACCGGCGCAUGAAACACGUGGUGGCAUCCUAUUGGCAUGGGACAAAACGGUAAUGGAGAGUUGA